GGCGAGAGACNGAUAGCGAACAAGUUACCGUGGAGGGAAAGAUGAAAAGAACUUUGAAAAGAGAGUUAAACAGUACGUGAAAUUGUUGAAAGGGAAACGAUUGAAGCCAGUCGUACCUAUGGGUAAUCAGCCUUUUGGGUGUGAUUUNGUGGAGCGUGAGGAGUUAAACGCCUUCAUGCCUGCAUAUUCGUGCACUUUGGGUGUACUUGCCCG
This 213-nucleotide ribosomal RNA is filed under the name Glomus sp. Af2. Its description in RNAcentral is "partial large subunit ribosomal RNA". It matches the Rfam family "Eukaryotic large subunit ribosomal RNA", at positions 325 to 489 of the family's 3401-position model. The record is from RNAcentral. Lineage: Eukaryota; Fungi; Glomeromycota; Glomeromycetes; Glomerales; Glomeraceae.